Molecule: ribosomal RNA, 388 nt
Filed under: uncultured bacterium
Lineage: Bacteria
Description: bacterial SSU rRNA
Rfam family: Bacterial small subunit ribosomal RNA
Source: RNAcentral
GACGAACGCUGGCGGCGUGCUUAACACAUGCAAGUCGAGCGGAAAGGCCCUUUCGGGGGUACUCGAGCGGCGAACGGGUGAGUAACACGUGAGUAAUCUGCCCUUGGCUUUGGGAUAACUACCGGAAACGGUGGCUAAUACCGGAUACGACCAAUCACUGCAUGGUGUGUUGGUGGAAAGUUUUUUCGGCCAGGGAUGUGCUCGCGGCCUAUCAGCUUGUUGGUGGGGUAAUGGCCUACCAAGGCUCGACGGGUAGCCGGCCUGAGAGGGUGACCGGCCACACUGGGACUGAGACACGGCCCAGACUCCUACGGGAGGCAGCAGUGGGGGAAUAUUGGACAAUGGGGCGGAAGCCUGAUCCAGCAACGCCGCGUGAGGGAUGACGGCC